This 771-nucleotide long non-coding RNA is filed under the name Monodelphis domestica (gray short-tailed opossum). RNAcentral describes it as "lncRNA (ENSMODG00000035349.2)". Lineage: Eukaryota; Metazoa; Chordata; Mammalia; Didelphimorphia; Didelphidae. The record is from RNAcentral.
GGCUUGUGUCUAUGUCAGUGUUUAGAAAGUGAUAUACAUACAUGAAUGUAUAUGAUGCAAUAUAUGCCAUACAUACAUAUAUUUGUGUGAAGUCAUAAUAAGUUUCUGGAUGUCAAACAAAAUGGAAAUUGAGUUUUCUAAGAAGGUAAUGUUACUCAUCUUUGGUUCUUACCAUUGCUUCCUUUCUUCUCAAUGUUCAGGGAUUUCAAAUCCUGAGAAAAAUCAAUGAAUAAAUCAGGAAAAAGUUCCAUAAUUCUCUUGCAAGCAUGAAAGCUUAACAAUCAACAAGGAAAUGUCACUGGCUCAAAGAAUCCACUGAUGUCAAGUCAAAAAGCAAGUUGAACAUCCCUAGUUCCUUCAAAGCAUCUUCUAGGGCAUGGACUAAAGACCUGUCGCCAUCCUGGAUGCCCUCUGCUGGACAGUCUUUAGAUUCUCAAAGGGAUGCUAGGAUGUCUAGAGACAAUGGCAGAGAUGGAAGAACAUUUGCUUCCAGGAUUCUGCUACAGAAAACAAAUACUCUCAAAGGCUUUAACAACAAGAAUUGUUCUCUGAAUGUCCACAGAGUCAUUGGAAAAGGACUUCACUUGGAAGUAAUUGGCUUCCUGACAUGUGGGUGCACUGCCUCUUUGCAAGGCGCAGCAGGUCGAGGAGAGAUCAGAGAAGAUAAAACAGACACAAUGAGGAAAAUAUAGACCUUCAAACAGAAAAACAGUGCUUCGCACAAUAUUGGGAACAUAAUAAGUCCUUAAUAAAUAUGUGUUUUGAGGAACA